This is a non-coding RNA of Salvia hispanica, 296 nucleotides long. The record is from RefSeq and is a predicted model, not a curated record. NCBI's taxonomy places the organism in Eukaryota, Viridiplantae, Streptophyta, Magnoliopsida, Lamiales, Lamiaceae.
GGCCAAAGCGAGUAAUUGAGUUGAGACAUAAGCAUAUCAGGUUGAACGUCAAGAGGAUGGAGAAAUGAUCGGAGUCGAUGCUACUAAAUAAUCAAGUGGAUCUUUUCACGAUUCGUGUCUUCAUACACGAAGUCGUCUAGUAUGGACUUAUUCCGCUGCUCUUUUGUGAAGUGAGACAUCUUAGAAUCUCACCUUCGAACUCUGAUUUAUUGAUGUAAUGUUUAUUCUAGUUCUAAGACCAUGUAAUGGUACAUUUGACUUCUAUUCUAUGAUAUGAUCGACUUGGCCUUCGGGCA